This is a long non-coding RNA of Homo sapiens (human), 930 nucleotides long. Ensembl annotates it as long intergenic non-protein coding RNA 1093. NCBI's taxonomy places the organism in Eukaryota, Metazoa, Chordata, Mammalia, Primates, Hominidae. The record is from Ensembl.
AAGCCACACCUUGUGACACUGAGCCUCAGGAGGACAACGUCAGAAACCAAAAGCUCCUCUGCCCAGGGAUGGGGACCCGCCGACUUCAAGGGCAGAACAGGUGCCUGGCUAGUGGGGGAGUUCCCCAAUGUGGAUUUAAACUGUAGUGUCUUCAGAGAACAUAACCAACAUUUGUCUUUAGGAGAUGUGUUUGUUUGAGUAGAUCAGCUAUGAAAAUACCCAGCCGGCCUGCAGCCCUCCCGGCAGAUGCUGAAAAGGAAACCCGACUGGGAGAUGCCGCCCACCCUUAUCCCCAGAGAGCUGCGUUGUUUCCUCUUGCCUUGGCCUUUGGAUCCGGCCAUAGCAAGCAUCCCUGGGCACCUGGCUGAAGCUGGAAACUCGGGAUAAGAAUGGAAGCCCUGGAAGGGAAGAAGAACCGAGGAGUGAGCUUGCCCUGAGGACAGCACAUUGCACUCUCACCUCCUUUGCAGUUAAGUGUGAAAUAGUGCCAAUAGAGUGUAAAAGAAAAGAAAGAAGAUGAUUCACCUCCCAAAGAUUCCCCACUGCUGUGUCCCUUCUAUCAACUUGAUACAAAAAAACACAAUGGCCCCGGGAACCACGUGUUGAAGAUGAGAGAGCUAAAAGAUGGAAAGAGACUGGAGCCCUGAGUCACCACCUGGAGGAAAACUACCCACCCAUCAGGAAUUUCUACUACACAUUUGGGAGUUUUUGGGGUUACAGCAGCUAAUUUAACGAAAACACCCAGAGACAAGAGCUAUUACUGCACAAAUUGGUUAAGUUACCUUUUUGUAUGUUUGGGUCCUCUCUAUUCGAUGAGACUGCGCGUUCCUUUGAAGCAAAUCUGUUUAAAAUUCUUAUAUCCCCAGAGGGCCUAGCAGAGAGUAUGCACAGAGUGAGCCUUCAGUAAAUGCUGAGUAAAUAAGCUCCUAA